CUGACGAGUGGCGGACGGGUGAGUAAUGUCUGGGAAACUGCCUGAUGGAGGGGGAUAACUACUGGAAACGGUAGCUAAUACCGCAUAACGUCGCAAGACCAAAGAGGGGGACCUUCGGGCCUCUUGCCAUCGGAUGUGCCCAGAUGGGAUUAGCUAGUAGGUGGGGUAACGGCUCACCUAGGCGACGAUCCCUAGCUGGUCUGAGAGGAUGACCAGCCACACUGGAACUGAGACACGGUCCAGACUCCUACGGGAGGCAGCAGUGGGGAAUAUUGCACAAUGGGCGCAAGCCUGAUGCAGCCAUGCCGCGUGUAUGAAGAAGGCCUUCGGGUUGUAAAGUACUUUCAGCGGGGAGGAAGGGAGUAAAGUUAAUACCUUUGCUCAUUGACGUUACCCGCAGAAGAAGCACCGGCUAACUCCGUGCCAGCAGCCGCGGUAAUACGGAGGGUGCAAGCGUUAAUCGGAAUUACUGGGCGUAAAGCGCACGCAGGCGGUUUGUUAAGUCAGAUGUGAAAUCCCCGGGCUCAACCUGGGAACUGCAUCUGAUACUGGCAAGCUUGAGUCUCGUAGAGGGGGGUAGAAUUCCAGGUGUAGCGGUGAAAUGCGUAGAGAUCUGGAGGAAUACCGGUGGCGAAGG
Molecule: ribosomal RNA, 637 nt
Filed under: Escherichia coli
Lineage: Bacteria; Pseudomonadati; Pseudomonadota; Gammaproteobacteria; Enterobacterales; Enterobacteriaceae
Description: bacterial SSU rRNA
Rfam family: Bacterial small subunit ribosomal RNA
Source: RNAcentral